GCUCUGUCGCCCAGACUAAAAGUGCAGUGGCACGAUCUUGGCUCACUACAACCUCCGCCUCCUGGGCUCAAGCAAUCCUCCGACCUCAGCAUCCCAAGUAGCUGAGACUACAGUUGAUUAUGUUCCAAGCAACGCUCCUUCAGAGGAAUCUGAUUAAACUGGCUGAGGGUCAGACAUGGUAGCACACACCUGGAAUCCCAGCACUUUGGGAGGCCAAGGCGGGAGGAUCACUUGAGCCCAGGAGUUUGAGACCUGCCUGGGCAACAUACCUGAAUGCUUUUCCUUCCUCUGGUACAUUCCAUACCAAAAAGAUGAGAUGGCCUCAUGACAGGAGUAAGGACUUUGGAGUCGGGUAAAUGCGGAUUCAGAUUUUCUCUCCAACACUUCCUAACUGAAUGCUACUCAGCCUCUCUAACUCAUGACUUCCUCCUCUGUACAUUUGGGAUAAUACCAACCACACAGGGAUGUUGGGGGAUGAAAUGACAUAGGAUUCAUGGGAACUCAAUGGUACCAUAUUCAUAGCAUACGGCAGGUGUGGGCUCCAGGCCCUUCCCGCUUCCCCAUCUCCUAUUCCACAUCAUUAUCUCCUUUUCUUUCUCCCUCCCUCCCUAUCUUUCUUCCUUCCUUCCUCCAUUUCAAAGAACAGCUAAAACUGGUGAUGCAGAAAUGACUACAGUAAAGCUGACCCUAAAACAACACAGAGGUUAGGGGCACUGUCCCCACACACAUUCAAAAAUCCAUGUCUGACUUUGUUUUGGAGAGCUUUUUUUCUUUAAGAUAGGAUCUGGCUCUAUUGCCCAGGCUGGAGUGCAGUGGCAUGAUCUUGGCUCACUGCAGCCUAUGCCUCCCGGGCUCAAGCCAUCCUCCCACCUCAGCCUCCUGAGUAGCUGAGACUACAUGCGCAUGCCACAAGGCCCCGCUAAUUUUUGUAUGUUUUUGUAGAGAUGGAGUUUAACCAUGUUCUCCAGGCUGGUCUCGAACUCCUGAGCUCAAGUAAUCUGCCCACCUCAACUUCCCAGUGCGCUGGGAUUCUAGGUGUAAGCCAUGACACCCAGCCCCAUGCAUAACAUUUUUUUUUUUUUUUUGGACGGAGUCUCACUCUUGUCCUCCAGGCUGGAGUGCAGUGUCGAGAUCUCAUCUCACUGCAACCUCCGCCUCCCGAGUUCAAGUGAUUCUCCUGCCUCAGCCUCCCAAGUAGCUGGGAUUACAUGCCCCCGCCACUGUGUCUGGCUAAUUUUUGUAUUUUUAGUACAGAUGGGGUUUCACCAUAAUGGCCAGGCUGGUCUCAAACUCCUGACCUCGUGAUCCAUCCAUCUCAGCCUCCCAAAGUGCUGGGAUUACAGGCGUGAGCCACUGCACCCAGCCCAUGCAUAACUUUUGACUCCCCAAAAACUUAACUACUAAUAGCCUACUGUUGACUGGAAGCCUUACCUACCAAUAACAUAAACAGUCGAUUAACAUAUAUUUUUGAAUGUUGUAUGCAUUAUACACUGUAUUCGUACAAUAAAGUAAGUUACAGAAAAGAAAAUGUUAUUAAGAAAAUCAUGAGGAAGAGAAAAUAUAUUUGCUAUUGAUUAAGCGGAAGUGGAUCAUCAUAAACGUCUUCAUCCUCCUCAUCUUCAUGUUGAGUAGGCAGAGG
RNAcentral lists this long non-coding RNA (1639 nucleotides) under Homo sapiens (human). Its description in RNAcentral is "HSALNT0101846". The record is from RNAcentral. Lineage: Eukaryota; Metazoa; Chordata; Mammalia; Primates; Hominidae.